CGGGAGGCAGCAGUAGGGAGUAUUGGGCAAUGGGCGCAAGCCUGACCCAGCCAUGCCGCGUGCAGGAAGAAGGCGUUAUGCGUUGUAAACUGCUUUUAUAGGGGAAGAAAAAGGCCAUGCGUGGCAAACUGACGGUACCCUAUGAAUAAGCACCGGCUAACUCCGUGCCAGCAGCCGCGGUAAUACGGAGGGUGCAAGCGUUGUCCGGAUUUAUUGGGUUUAAAGGGUGCGUAGGCGGCUUUUUAAGUCAGCGGUGAAAGACUGUCGCUCAACGACGGAACUGCCGUUGAUACUGAUUAGCUUGAGUUUGAUUGAGGCAGCCGGAAUGGAUAGUGUAGCGGUGAAAUGCAUAGAUAUUAUCCAGAACGCCAAUAGCGUAGGCAGUUGCUAAGUCAUUACUGACGCUGAGGCACGAGAGUGCGGGGAUCAAACAGGAUUAGAUACCCCUGUAGUCC
Molecule: ribosomal RNA, 455 nt
Filed under: uncultured bacterium
Lineage: Bacteria
Description: bacterial SSU rRNA
Rfam family: Bacterial small subunit ribosomal RNA
Source: RNAcentral